Molecule: long non-coding RNA, 358 nt
Organism: Oncorhynchus tshawytscha (Chinook salmon)
Lineage: Eukaryota; Metazoa; Chordata; Actinopteri; Salmoniformes; Salmonidae
Source: Ensembl
GGGGGAGAGAGAUAGGAGGUGAAUCUCCAGAUGAUAAUGGAGAGAGAGAUAGGAGGAGGAGGAUCUACAGAUGAGGAGAAUGGAGAGAGAGAUAGGAGGAGGUGGAUCUACAGACGAGAAGGGGGAGAGAGAUAGGAGGUGAAUCUCCAGAUGAGAAUGGGGAGAGAGAUAGGAGGAGGUGGAUCUACAGAUGAUAAUGGAGAGAGAGAUAGGAGGAGGAGGAUCUACAGAUGAGGAGAAUGGAGAGAGAGAUAGGAGGAGGUGGAUCUACAGACGAGAAGGGGGAGAGAGAUAGGAGGUGAAUCUACAGAUGAUAAUGGAGAGAGAGAUAGGAGGAGGAGGAUCUACAGAUGAGGAG